UACGUAGGGGGCAAGCGUUUUCCGGAUUUACUGGGUGUAAAGGGCGCGCAGGUGGGCUUGAUAGUUAGAGGUGAAAUCCUGUGGCUUAACUGCAGAACUGCCUUUAAUACUUCAAGUCUUGAGUGCGGAAGAGAGAGACGGAAUUCCAGGUGUAGUGGUGAAAUACGUAGAUAUCUGGAAGAACACCAGUUGCGAAGGCGGUCUCUUGGUCCGUAACUGACACUCAGGCGCGAAAGCGUGGGGAGCAAACAGG
Molecule: ribosomal RNA, 253 nt
Filed under: uncultured bacterium
Lineage: Bacteria
Description: partial 16S ribosomal RNA
Rfam family: Bacterial small subunit ribosomal RNA
Source: RNAcentral